Molecule: small nuclear RNA, 163 nt
Organism: Meriones unguiculatus (Mongolian gerbil)
Lineage: Eukaryota; Metazoa; Chordata; Mammalia; Rodentia; Muridae
Gene: U1
Rfam family: U1 spliceosomal RNA
About the family: U1 is a small nuclear RNA (snRNA) component of the spliceosome (involved in pre-mRNA splicing). Its 5' end forms complementary base pairs with the 5' splice junction, thus defining the 5' donor site of an intron.
Source: Ensembl
AUUCUUACCUGAAAGGGGAGAUACCAUGAUUUUGAAGAUGGUUCUCCCAGGGCAAGGCUUGUCUAUUGCACUCUGUGUGUGCUGACCCCUGAAAUUUCCCCUAUAGCACAAAUUCAACUGCAUAAUUUGUGGUAGUGGGUUACUGUGUUUGCACUUUCUCCUG